UGAGGAAUAUUGGUCAAUGGGCGAGAGCCUGAACCAGCCAAGUAGCGUGCAGGAAGACGGCCCUAUGGGUUGUAAACUGCUUUUGUAUGGGGAUAAAGUCAAUCACGUGUGAUUGUUUGCAGGUACCAUACGAAUAAGGACCGGCUAAUUCCGUGCCAGCAGCCGCGGUAAUACGGAGGGUCCGGGCGUUAUCCGGAUUUAUUGGGUUUAAAGGGAGCGUAGGCUGGAGAUUAAGUGUGUUGUGAAAUGUAGGCGCUCAACGUCUGACUUGCAGCGCAUACUGGUUUCCUUGAGUACGCACAACGUUGGCGGAAUUCGUCGUGUAGCGGUGAAAUGCUUAGAUAUGACGAAGAACUCCGAUUGCGAAGGCAGCUGACGGGAGCGCAACUGACGCUGAAGCUCGAAGGUGCGGGUAUCGAACAGGAUUAGAUACCCUGGUAGUCCGCACAGUAAACGAUGGAUGCCCGCUGUUGGUACCUGGUAUCAGCGGCUAAGCGAAAGCAUUAAGCAUCCCACCUGGGGAGUACGCCGGCAACGGU
RNAcentral lists this ribosomal RNA (539 nucleotides) under uncultured bacterium. RNAcentral describes it as "bacterial SSU rRNA". It matches the Rfam family "Bacterial small subunit ribosomal RNA", at positions 355 to 895 of the family's 1533-position model. The record is from RNAcentral.